GACGAACGCUGGCGGCGUGCUUAACACAUGCAAGUCGAACGGAAAGUCCCUGCUGUUGUUUGCUGCUCGAGUGACGAACGGGUGAGUAACACGUGAGUAACCUGCCCUUGACUGUGUGAUAACUUCAGGAAACUGGUGCUAAUGCCAGAUAGUAGCUCCUGCUGCUUGUUCUUGGUUGAAAAGUUUCGGCGGGUGGGGAUGGACUCGCGGCCUCUGAGCCUGUUGGUGGAGUAGUGGAUUAGCAAGGUUUUGGCGGGUAGCCGGCCUGAGAGGGUGACAGGCCCCAUAGGGCCUGAGAUACGGGCAAGAGUGAUACGGGAGGAAGCAGCGGGAGAUAUUGCGCGAUGGGCGGAAGCAUGAAGCAGGAACGUCGGGUGGGGGAUGACGGCUUUCGGGUUGUAACCCGCUUUAGCCUGUGACGAAGAGUGAGUGACGGUAAUGGGUAAAGAAGCAACGGCUAACUACGUG
This 468-nucleotide ribosomal RNA is filed under the name uncultured bacterium. RNAcentral describes it as "partial 16S ribosomal RNA". It matches the Rfam family "Bacterial small subunit ribosomal RNA", at positions 28 to 507 of the family's 1533-position model. The record is from RNAcentral.